This 308-nucleotide ribosomal RNA is filed under the name Micrococcus sp. Its description in RNAcentral is "bacterial SSU rRNA". It matches the Rfam family "Bacterial small subunit ribosomal RNA", at positions 1017 to 1326 of the family's 1533-position model. The record is from RNAcentral. Lineage: Bacteria; Bacillati; Actinomycetota; Actinomycetes; Micrococcales; Micrococcaceae.
CCUUGGGGCGGGAUCACAGCUGGUGCAUGGUUGUCGUCAGCUCGUGUCGUGAGAUGUUGGGUUAAGUCCCGCAACGAGCGCAACCCUCUUUCCAUGUUGCCAGCACGUAAUGGUGGGGACUCAUGGGAGACUGCCGGGGUCAACUCGGAGGAAGGUGGGGACGACGUCAAAUCAUCAUGCCCCUUAUGUCUUGGGCUUCACGCAUGCUACAAUGGCCGGUACAAUGGGUUGCGAUACUCUGAGGUGGAGCUAAUGCCAACAAGCCGGUCUCAGUUCGGAUUGGGAUCUGCAACUCGACACCACGAACU